GUAGGUGGCAAGCGUUGUCCGGAAUUAUUGGGCGUAAAGCGCGCGCAGGGCGGUUUUUUAAGUCUGAUGUGAAAGCCCACGGGCUCAACCGUGGAGGGUCAUUGGAAACUGGAGAACUUGAGUACAGAAGAGGAAAGCGGAAUUCCACGUGUAGCGGUGAAAUGCGUAGAGAUGUGGAGGAACACCAGUGGCGAAGGCGGCUUUCUGGUCUGUAACUGACGCUGAGGCGCGAAAGCGUGGGGAGCAAACGGGAUUAGAUACCCUGGUAGUCCACGCCGUAAACGAUGAGUGCUAAGUGUUAGGGGGUUUCCGCCCCUUAGUGCUGCAGCUAACGCAUUAAGCACUCCGCCUGGGGAGUACGGCCGCAAGGCUG
This 373-nucleotide ribosomal RNA is filed under the name uncultured organism. RNAcentral describes it as "partial 16S ribosomal RNA". It matches the Rfam family "Bacterial small subunit ribosomal RNA", at positions 527 to 896 of the family's 1533-position model. The record is from RNAcentral.